CCUACGGGAGGCAGCAGUGGGGAAUAUUGGACAAUGGGCGCAAGCCUGAUCCAGCAAUGCCGCGUGAGUGAUGAAGGCCUUAGGGUCGUAAAGCUCUUUUACCAGGGAUGAUAAUGACAGUACCUGGAGAAUAAGCUCCGGCUAACUCCGUGCCAGCAGCCGCGGUAAUACGGAGGGAGCUAGCGUUGUUCGGAAUUACUGGGCGUAAAGCGUACGUAGGCGGUUAUUCAAGUCAGAGGUGAAAGCCCGGGGCUCAACCCCGGAACGGCCUUUGAAACUAGGUAGCUAGAAUCUUGGAGAGGUCAGUGGAAUUCCGAGUGUAGAGGUGAAAUUCGUAGAUAUUCGGAAGAACACCAGUGGCGAAGGCGACUGACUGGACAAGUAUUGACGCUGAGGUACGAAAGCGUGGGGAGCAAACAGGAUUAGAUACCCUGGUAGUCCACGCCGUAAACGAUGAUAACUAGCUGUUCGGGCACUUGGUGCUUGAGUGGCGCAGCUACGCAUUAAGUUAUCCGUCCGUCGGGUAGGUACGGUCGCGAGAAGUUAAACGUUAAACGGUAAGUUAGUACGGUCGUGAGACGUAGACCGACGACGACGACGAGGGAGUAGG
Molecule: ribosomal RNA, 610 nt
Filed under: uncultured bacterium
Lineage: Bacteria
Description: bacterial SSU rRNA
Rfam family: Bacterial small subunit ribosomal RNA (bases 1-517)
Source: RNAcentral